CUCAAAAGCGGAAGACGAUGGGGAAAAUCGGGGAAUGGGUGAGGAUACUUUCUCUCUCGUGUUUUUAAAAGGAUAGCGCGAUUGCUUUUCGUAAGGCUAUUAUUGUUGUUGUCGGGAGCAUUCUAUAAACGUCAGGACUUAGUAAAAAUAAGUUGGGUAGAUUAAAACUGCUUACAAUUUGGAAGAUCUUGCCGCGAAGGGAUGAUCAAAAAACAGAAAAACAGAGAUCUUGCUA
Long non-coding RNA from Thamnophis elegans (Western terrestrial garter snake), 235 nucleotides. RefSeq lists it as uncharacterized. The record is from RefSeq and is a predicted model, not a curated record. The transcript has 2 exons. NCBI's taxonomy places the organism in Eukaryota, Metazoa, Chordata, Lepidosauria, Squamata, Natricidae.